AUUAACGCUAGCGGCAGGCAUAAUACAUGCAAGUUGAACGGCAGCACAGGUGGCAAUACCGGGUGGCGAGUGGCGCACGGGUGCGUAACACGUAUGCAACCUACCCUAUACAGGCGAAUAACCUUUAGAAAUGAGGGCUAAUACGCCGUAGUAUUAUCUUAGGGCAUCUUAAGAUAAUUAAAGAUUUAUCGGUAUAGGAUGGGCAUGCGUCCCAUUAGUUAGUUGGUAGGGUAACGGCUUACCAAGGCUAUGAUGGGUAGGGG
RNAcentral lists this ribosomal RNA (263 nucleotides) under uncultured bacterium. RNAcentral describes it as "partial 16S ribosomal RNA". It matches the Rfam family "Bacterial small subunit ribosomal RNA", at positions 29 to 289 of the family's 1533-position model. The record is from RNAcentral.